RNAcentral lists this unclassified non-coding RNA (390 nucleotides) under rhizosphere metagenome. RNAcentral's name for it is "partial ribosomal RNA internal transcribed spacer region". The record is from RNAcentral.
GUAGGUGAACCUGCGGAAGGAUCAUUAACACGUAUCCAAACGUUAAAACCCCCCUGUGAAUCUUCAACACCAAUAAGGGUCCUGCAAAUGUUUGGGGCAACCCUAGUAAAUCAUUGUCUGUAUCAGAUUUUGAGUUAGGGGCUUGCUUCUCUGGGCACCGCGGUGAGCAGGUUUAGCUAUUUACGUCCCUGGCGGCUCUGAAGACUGUAUGAAGUGUCAGUGCACUUGUGUAAGGAGUUGGCGCAGUCAACGAAUCAACGGGCCGACACGGCCCUGCGACCGGGACCCUUUGAGCGGGUAAAACGGCUCCAACCAGAUGCAAAUAUCUGGCAUGACAUGAGAGAGGCACAAAAAAACAAACAACUGUUAACAAUGGAUAUCUUGGUUCUC